Non-coding RNA from Arthrobacter sp. Hiyo1, 116 nucleotides. NCBI's taxonomy places the organism in Bacteria, Bacillati, Actinomycetota, Actinomycetes, Micrococcales, Micrococcaceae. The record is from Rfam.
GGUCAUGAGUGCCAGCGACAGCCCCGGCUUGCUGGCCGGCAACCCUCCUUUCGCGGCGGGGUGCCCCGGGUGAAGACCUGGCCCUUCGCUGUGUUGGCGGCGGGCAAGCGCGAUGU